UGGCUUGCGAGGCACUGGGCAGGAAUAGCAGCAGCUGGGCUUGGGGGCUCUGGCAGACAUGGCAGAAGUCACUGUGCAGGUGAAUUGCAGCCAGUGGCAUGGAGACAGCUGAAAUAUGGCAUUGCUGCUCAGCGACCUGCCUGGGUCUCAUGGGAGCAUGGUGGCCAGUGUGACCACAUAGUUGGGCUUCCUUGUCAUCAGUGUCCCCUCCUUCCUCCUGCAGCCCUGCGUAAUGCUAGCUAACAGAACCAACCGCAGCAGAAGCAAGAAGCCGCCUUCUUCUCAUCCCUGUGACUGUCUCACCACUGAGCUCUGUGGCCUUUGCGGAAGCCAGUCCUAUGGCCCAAUGGAGUAAAACAGGAUACUGACCCAGCCUGGACUUUCCUAAGAUGUCCAAAGGACUCCAGGUCACCAACUCAUAGUGACUUUCAAAGCACUGCCUCCACCCCCACCCGACUUUGCCUCCUCAGUUCCCAUCUGGUGGCUGCCAGGGCUCCAUCCUUCACAGUUCCACCCUUCUCUUUGAGGUGGAGAAUACUUCCUCUCUGGCCAGGCCUGCCUCUGCCCUCUCCCUAUCUGGCUGCUCCUCUCUCUGUCCCUCUGUACUGUUUCUGUCUAUCCAUGUAUGUGUAUCUCCACCUCAUUGCCAGCUGUCUGUCUUUCCAUCUGUCCCUCUAUCCUUGCAUAAGGCCUAGGGAUGGAUGGCAGACCCUUCCCCCUUCAAGAGAAGCAGUGGAGGGUCUGAGGGAGGAGAAAAUGGGGGUCACUAACACUCAUUAAUCCUCUCUGUCACAAAUGCAUUAGAGACAGAAGUGCCAGGAAGAGGCAGGUCCUCCAAGAGGUUGGGGGGAGGCUGGAGGCUGCUCAGCCAGAGGUAGCUGAGCCAAAGCAGGAGGCAGAGCCCAGAACCUCAGAGGCGCUGGGCUGAGCUGAUCCUUCUGGCUUUCUCCUGUCCCCUGAUGCUUUGCUCCAGCUGGCCACAUUGUUCACCUUCUCUAGGUUGAGUGACAAGAAGGCGUGUCUGUCACCUUUCCAUCGGGAGCAUAUCUGCAAACAUGAGGGGACACCCUGAGAGACCUUUGGGCUGCCAGGGCCUGAGGAAGAGCAGAAGUCCACCUGCAUGGUGGUACGGAGGUUCCGGAGGGCUCCAGGGCUGUAUCCCGUGGACAGGAGCCUGGGGGGCCUGGCUGUCCCAGUAGCUUGAUGGCGUCAUAGGGCCUCAUCUCUCUCCUCUUUUUCUGACACUCAGAGAAAAUGCACAGAAUUGUUUGCAAGGCCCCCAAGUCCUUGAGCCCUCUGAUGAUUGCCUCUGAAUAUUGACAUGAGUUUAAUAUACUGUACAAUUUUGAUACAAGGCUGAUUAAUCAAUGACUUCAAUAAUCCCUGUGAGUAGGGAACAAUAAAGUAGAUGUAUUGCCUUAGAAUUAUUUACAUUUUAUUUGCCA
This 1445-nucleotide long non-coding RNA is filed under the name Marmota monax (woodchuck). Lineage: Eukaryota; Metazoa; Chordata; Mammalia; Rodentia; Sciuridae. The record is from RNAcentral.